Molecule: small nuclear RNA, 108 nt
Organism: Nannospalax galili (Upper Galilee mountains blind mole rat)
Lineage: Eukaryota; Metazoa; Chordata; Mammalia; Rodentia; Spalacidae
Source: Ensembl
GUGCUUGCUUCAGCAGUACACAUACUAAAAAUUGGAACAAUACAGAGAAGGUUGGUAUGGUUCCUGCACUAGGAUGACAUGCAAAUUCAUGAAGCCUUCCAUUUUUUA